AACGCUGAAGAGAGGAGCUUGCUCUUCUUGGAUGAGUUGCGAACGGGUGAGUAACGCGUAGGUAACCUGCCUUGUAGCGGGGGAUAACUAUUGGAAACGAUAGCUAAUACCGCAUAACAAUGAAUGACUCAUGUCAUUUAUUUGAAAGGGGCAAUUGCUCCACUACAAGAUGGACCUGCGUUGUAUUAGCUAGUAGGUGAGGUAACGGCUCACCUAGGCGACGAUACAUAGCCGACCUGAGAGGGUGAUCGGCCACACUGGGACUGAGACACGGCCCAGACUCCUACGGGAGGCAGCAGUAGGGAAUCUUCGGCAAUGGGGGCAACCCUGACCGAGCAACGCCGCGUGAGUGAAGAAGGUUUUCGGAUCGUAAAGCUCUGUUGUAAGUCAAGAACGAGUGUGAGAGUGGAAAGUUCACACUGUGACGGUAGCUUACCAGAAAGGGACGGCUAACUACGUGCCAGCAGCCGCGGUAAUACGUAGGUCCCGAGCGUUGUCCGGAUUUAUUGGGCGUAAAGCGAGCGCAGGCGGUUUGAUAAGUCUGAAGUUAAAGGCUGUGGCUCAACCAUAGUUCGCUUUGGAAACUGUCAAACUUGAGUGCAGAAGGGGAGAGUGGAAUUCCAUGUGUAGCGGUGAAAUGCGUAGAUAUAUGGAGGAACACCGGUGGCGAAAGCGGCUCUCUGGUCUGU
This 689-nucleotide ribosomal RNA is filed under the name uncultured Bacilli bacterium. RNAcentral's name for it is "bacterial SSU rRNA". It matches the Rfam family "Bacterial small subunit ribosomal RNA", at positions 65 to 737 of the family's 1533-position model. Lineage: Bacteria; Bacillati; Bacillota; Bacilli. The record is from RNAcentral.